AGCAGUGGGGAAUUUUGGACAAUGGGCGAAAGCCUGAUCCAGCCAUGCCGCGUGCAGGAUGAAGGCCUUCGGGUUGUAAACUGCUUUUGUACGGAACGAAACGGCCUUUUCUAAUAAAGAGGGCUAAUGACGGUACCGUAAGAAUAAGCACCGGCUAACUACGUGCCAGCAGCCGCGGUAAUACGUAGGGUGCAAGCGUUAAUCGGAAUUACUGGGCGUAAAGCGUGCGCAGGCGGUUAUGUAAGACAGUUGUGAAAUCCCCGGGCUCAACCUGGGAACUGCAUCUGUGACUGCAUAGCUAGAGUACGGUAGAGGGGGAUGGAAUUCCGCGUGUAGCAGUGAAAUGCGUAGAUAUGCGGAGGAACACCGAUGGCGAAGGCAAUCCCCUGGACCUGUACUGACGCUCAUGCACGAAAGCGUGGGGAGCAAACAGGAUUAGAUACCCUGGUAGUCCACGCCCUAAACGAUGUCAACUGGUUGUUGGGUCUUCACUGACUCAGUAACGAAGCUAACGCGUGAAGU
Molecule: ribosomal RNA, 522 nt
Filed under: uncultured Variovorax sp.
Lineage: Bacteria; Pseudomonadati; Pseudomonadota; Betaproteobacteria; Burkholderiales; Comamonadaceae
Description: bacterial SSU rRNA
Rfam family: Bacterial small subunit ribosomal RNA
Source: RNAcentral